AAGUCGUAACAAGGUUUCCGUAGGUGAACCUGCGGAAGGAUCAUUACAGUAGUCGCCCGGGUUGCCGCAAGGCCUCCCGGGUAACCUACCACCCUUUGUUUAUUACACUUUGUUGCUUUGGCAAGCCUGCCCUCGGGCUGCUGGCUCCGGCCGGCGAGCGCUUGCCAGAGGACCUAAACUCUGUUUGUUUAUACUGUCUGAGUACUAUAUAAUAGUUAAAACUUUCAACAACGGAUCUCUUGGUUCUG
This 248-nucleotide unclassified non-coding RNA is filed under the name Pseudogymnoascus verrucosus. RNAcentral's name for it is "partial internal transcribed spacer region". The stretch from base 1 to 46 matches the Rfam family "Eukaryotic small subunit ribosomal RNA", at positions 1786 to 1831 of the family's 1831-position model. Lineage: Eukaryota; Fungi; Ascomycota; Leotiomycetes; Thelebolales; Thelebolaceae. The record is from RNAcentral. RNAcentral also lists the same sequence under 1 other name.